UACAGAGGUCUCAACCGUUGUUCGGAUUCAUUGGGCGUAAAGGGUGCGUAGGCGGCGGGGUAAGUCAGGUGUGAAAUCUCGGGGCUCAACCCCGAAACUGCUGUGCUGGAGUGUGGGAGAGGCGCGUGGAAUUGCAGGUGUAGCGGUGAAAUGCGUAGAUAUCUGCAGGAACACCCGUGGCGAAAGCGGCGCGCUGGACCACUACUGACGCUGAGGAACGAAAGCUAGGGGAGCAAACAGG
Molecule: ribosomal RNA, 241 nt
Filed under: uncultured bacterium
Lineage: Bacteria
Description: partial 16S ribosomal RNA
Rfam family: Bacterial small subunit ribosomal RNA
Source: RNAcentral